UGCCAGCCGCCGCGGUAAUACGAAAGGGGCUAGCGUUGUUCGGAAUUACUGGGCGUAAAGCGCACGUAGGCGGCUUGGUAAGUUGGGGGUGAAAUCCCGGGGCUUAACCCCGGAACUGCCCUCAAAACUGUCGAUCUAGAGACCGGGAGAGGUAAGCGGAAUUCCUAGUGUAGAGGUGAAAUUCGUAGAUAUUAGGAAGAACACCAGUGGCGAAGGCGACUUCCUGGGCCAAUACUGACGCUGAGGUGCGAAAGCGUGGGGAGCAAACAGGAUUAGAUA
RNAcentral lists this ribosomal RNA (279 nucleotides) under uncultured bacterium. Its description in RNAcentral is "partial 16S ribosomal RNA". It matches the Rfam family "Bacterial small subunit ribosomal RNA", at positions 506 to 784 of the family's 1533-position model. The record is from RNAcentral.